UACAGAGGGGGCAAGCGUUGUUCGGAAUUACUGAGCGUAAAGGGCGCGUAGGCGGCCUCUUAAGUCGAACGUGAAAUCCCCGGGCUCAACCCGGGAACUGCGUCCGAUACUGGGAGGCUUGAAUCCGGAAGAGGGAUGCGGAAUUCCAGGUGUAGCGGUGAAAUGCGUAGAUAUCUGGAGGAACACCGGUGGCGAAGGCGGCAUCCUGGGCCGGUAUUGACGCUGAGGAGCGAAAGCCAGGGGAGCAAACGGG
Molecule: ribosomal RNA, 253 nt
Filed under: uncultured bacterium
Lineage: Bacteria
Description: partial 16S ribosomal RNA
Rfam family: Bacterial small subunit ribosomal RNA
Source: RNAcentral